UACGGAGGGUGCAAGCGUUGUCCGGAAUCACUGGGCGUAAAGGGCGCGUAGGCGGCUCAUGAAGGCUGUGGUGAAAGUCCGGGGCUCAACCUCGGAUCGGCCGUGGCGACUCGUGGGCUGGAGCACUGUAGAGGCGGGUGGAAUUCCGGGUGUAGCGGUGGAAUGCGUAGAGAUCCGGAAGAACACCAGUGGCGAAGGCGGCUCUCUGGAACGCAACUGACGCUGAGACGCGAAAGCGUGGGGAGCAAACAGG
Molecule: ribosomal RNA, 253 nt
Filed under: uncultured bacterium
Lineage: Bacteria
Description: partial 16S ribosomal RNA
Rfam family: Bacterial small subunit ribosomal RNA
Source: RNAcentral